UGGCCUAUUCCUAUUUACGACCUCUUUCU
Molecule: non-coding RNA, 29 nt
Filed under: Mus musculus (house mouse)
Lineage: Eukaryota; Metazoa; Chordata; Mammalia; Rodentia; Muridae
Source: RNAcentral